Chinchilla lanigera (long-tailed chinchilla) is the source of this 650-nucleotide long non-coding RNA. RefSeq lists it as uncharacterized. The transcript has 3 exons. The record is from RefSeq and is a predicted model, not a curated record. Lineage: Eukaryota; Metazoa; Chordata; Mammalia; Rodentia; Chinchillidae.
UUGAAGCCAACACUGGUCUCUCAGUAACCCUUUGGCCACUACCUAGCUUUUCAACAUCAGAUGAACUGAGGGGGCUUGCAUAGAUGAUAUCUGACCUCCUAACAAGACGUUUCAGUGUCUCUGCACAGCACUACUUCCCGGAAGACCUGUGUCGCCAUCCUGUCACCAGACAAGAUUUCUCGACUCAGUUUCCUGUCCCAUUAUAUGGAGAGGACUGCAGGGGGAGAAAAUCAGAAUGAAGAAAAACAGCAAGAAAACCCUGCAUUUUCUGAACACAAACAUGAAAAUGAAAAGAUCCUGAAAAAAAGGUUCUGGAAUGGGGGCUCAGAGGACUGCAUUCUGUCCCAGAUGCUUCUGCUGUCCACAUUGCAGCCAAUGGAAGAGGAAAAGAGCAUAUGAGGUUGUGUUCCAAACCUGGAAAUAGAACACAUGAAUCAUUUCUGCACAGUUGUCAUUGGCUGGAACACAGUCAUGUGACUCCAGCUAAAAGCAGAGGAGCUUGGGAAGUAUGAUACAGCUGUAUGCUCAAGAAGAGAUUAUCCUUUGAUAGAUGGUUAGCAGUUUCUGCUACCAUUGGUGACAUGUAAAAUCAACAUAUUUCACAUGUAACACUCCCACAUUGCAAUAUUUAACUAGAAUAAAAAGAUUUU